This 350-nucleotide unclassified non-coding RNA is filed under the name Moritella viscosa. Its description in RNAcentral is "putative sRNA". Lineage: Bacteria; Pseudomonadati; Pseudomonadota; Gammaproteobacteria; Alteromonadales; Moritellaceae. The record is from RNAcentral.
GCCACAGUCUAUUUUGUGAUGCUUGUCAUAUGUGAAUUUUUAAGCUGUUAUUUGUUUGUUAUUCAACAUUUUGAAUGGUUACUGUGCAUUUAUUUGGUUAUUUUAGUUAUUUUAUGCGCGGUUAAAGCCUUGCUUAAAUAAAUUCACCAUGCUAAUAAUGAAUCAUAAAAAUUUUAUAUAGUUGUUGGAUUAGUUAUAUGUUUGGGUUUACUUCGCGUCUUAUUAUUGUGGUCAGCAUUCUGGUGGUAAUUAUUAAAUUACCAAGCCGGGGACUUACUGCUAAGCGAAAAUAAGCUUAAUCCAGCAAUAAGAAAACCGCGGUAAAUAACCGGGGUUUUUUUUUGUUUGGC